This is a long non-coding RNA of Mauremys reevesii (Reeves's turtle), 906 nucleotides long. RefSeq lists it as uncharacterized. The record is from RefSeq and is a predicted model, not a curated record. The transcript is spliced from 3 exons. NCBI's taxonomy places the organism in Eukaryota, Metazoa, Chordata, Testudines, Geoemydidae.
CAACACAUGGCCAUGAUGUGAUGAUGUAGUAGCAGUCACAAAACACUUAAAUAUCCUUCAUCUAUAGCUUGCAUGAUAUAGGUUCUCUCCUUUAAAAUCAGAAUGAUGACAGGAAAUUCAAGUCCAGUGACUACUCUAGAAAUGGGCAAAUCUUGAAAAGUUUAGGUUUGGGUUUAAGUCUCUCUUUGGAGGGGUUAGGAUGAGGUGUCAUGGGAAAUAAAUUAUCAUGUCUACCUGCUGCAGGGACUUUUGUACUCAGAAGCAUCCAGUGCUGUCCGCUGUCAGAGCCGGGAUCCUAGACUAGAUGGACCACUAGUCUGAUCCAGUCUGACAGCUCCUCCAUUCCUAAUUUCUUCUUUUUUCUGCUGGUGUUCAAAAUAUUGCAAAAGGUUUAGGAGUGUGUAGACCUGUGAAUGAAAACCAUGACUCUAUAAAGAGCCUUUCAGGGAGCCUUUGCUUACCAAAUGGCUUUACCUGGUUGAUCCUGUGAUUCAGUAGACCCUUUUGUCCUGAUCAGCCCUUGACACUUCCAGCAUUCUUAAGCACAAUGCAAGUGCCAUGUGCCCUUGGCACCUAAAAAUAUCUCCAGCAUUUGUCAGGAUUCACUCAUAAAAGAUUAAGAAGCCAACAGUUACGUUGAUACAUUAGUGGAUGGAAACAAAAAACUUUCUUUAUAUGGCUAAUGCUACUGUUCUUCUUGAAGAGAAAGCAGGAUGUUAAACCCUUACAAGCAAAGCUGUCUUGGCUGCACUGCAGACCUGGCCUGAAAACAUCCCAUAAGCAGCUUCUCUCCUUGCAACCAGAAACGAACUUGCCUGGAGUAAUCAGAUACUUAUAGACAUCAUCAGGAAUGCAAGAAUAGUGACUAUCGUCACAUGCCCAUAUGGGAAUUAAACAAGCAAAGCC